RNAcentral lists this transfer RNA (68 nucleotides) under Empoascanara angkhangica. RNAcentral describes it as "tRNA-Met". The record is from RNAcentral. Lineage: Eukaryota; Metazoa; Arthropoda; Insecta; Hemiptera; Cicadellidae.
GAAGAAGUAAGCUAAUUAAGCUCUUAGGUUCAUACCCUAAUUAUGAAAGUUUAACCUUUCCUUCUUUA